RNAcentral lists this ribosomal RNA (404 nucleotides) under uncultured bacterium. Its description in RNAcentral is "bacterial SSU rRNA". It matches the Rfam family "Bacterial small subunit ribosomal RNA", at positions 62 to 507 of the family's 1533-position model. The record is from RNAcentral.
UCGAACGCGUGUAGCAAUACACGAGUUGGCGCACGGGUGAGUAACGCGUGGAUAUCUGCCUUUUGGUUCGGAAUAACUCCGGGAAACUGGAGCUAAUACCGGAUGGGUUCCUACGGGAUAAAGAUUUAUCGCCAAAAGAUGAGUCCGCGUACGAUUAGCUAGUUGGUGAGGUAAUGGCUCACCAAGGGCGACGAUCGUUAGCUGGUCUGAGAGGACGAUCAGCCACACUGGGACUGAGACACGGCCCAGACUCCUACGGGAGGCAGCAGUGGGGAAUAUUGGACAAUGGGGCAACCCUGAUCCAGCCAUGCCGCGUGAGUGAUGGAAGGCCUUCGGGUUGUAAAGCUCUUUUGGCGGGGACGAUGAUGACGGUACCCGCAGAAUAAGCCCCGGCUAACUUCGUG